GCGCACGCCUGUAAUCCCAGCACUCGCCUGUAAUCCCAGCACUCGGGAGGCUGAGGCAGGAGGAUCCAUGCAAGUUCAAGGUGAAAAGGGUGAAGGUGCAGAGAGCUCUACAGUCAUCUGAUGGGAAGAGAAGGGGAUUUGUUGUGUUCUUGUUGCCAGACCCAGGCCUACUGCACGGUCACAGCACGAAUCCAACAGCAACAGCUCGCAACAGGACUGUUUUUUUGUUUUUUGAAAGAAGUAAAGAAAACUGUGACUCAUCCCGCUACUCAAGCGUGUAGAGCACUUGCUGCUUCCGAUAUGUG
Molecule: long non-coding RNA, 305 nt
Organism: Heterocephalus glaber (naked mole-rat)
Lineage: Eukaryota; Metazoa; Chordata; Mammalia; Rodentia; Bathyergidae
Source: Ensembl